CAUGCUCAUCAUGAAUAUCAUCAAUCAAAAUCUUCUGGGAAAGAUAUACAUGCCCAUAAUGUAUACUAAAUUUAUUCUAAGUCAAAAAUAAAUAAAUUUUGAUCAAGGUUAGGGAAAAUGUACUGGAUAUUUGGUAGACUGUUCUGUAUACAAUUACAAACUUGGUCAAACUGCAUUUUAUAAUUCCGAAGUGAGCGAGUACGGCUUGAAGCAGCAACAUGUAUGCUGAGGAGAUCUAGCUCUAGCUACUGGUAGCAGUUAUGUUUUGUCUGAAUUAGUGCGUGGUAGGGCUAGCGUAGCUGCUGCUGCACAUGAAAGCGUGAGGACAUUCAGGAGGAGUCUGCGGGCGUGCACAUGGAAUGGAAUUCAAUAAUAGCAAAAAAAAAUAAAAAAAAUGGAAUGGAUGAAGACGACACGUCGAUGUUAAAUGCUUUGGCCUACUUCAAGGAAGAAAUCAUCGCAUUUGGAAAGCUCCCAGGUUGGGUUUGGUUGUUGCAUUUUAUUUUUUGUUUUUUGUUUGGCAGAGCGAGAUCGAAGACGACAAAUUAAUGAAAUAAUCGAUCCAUCUACUAAGCCGGCCAGCUAAUUGUAAGCUCCUCUGUUGCUGAACUGAGAACAGAACAAGGCCACGUCCCCACAAGGCAGCGUACGUAGCGAGUGAGGCCACACAUCCUGUAAACGGAACGGAUUGAGAGGGUGAUUUGACAUUAACUGUCACGGAGUUAACAAUAGUUAAGACGCCGACGGUGGAUGUUGGUGGAUUUGUUGCUAGAUGCAUGAUCAGUCGGACAACAAAUUAAUUAAGAUCUGUUUAAUUACUCAGAAAACAAUGGGUGAUAGAUGGAGCAAAUUGGUGAAAGAUUACGAAUUAAGGAGAAACAUAGGAUAUGAACCAAACAUGCACGCAUGCAUGCAUGGCCUUGGCUAGCUCCGCAUCACCUGGACAGAGUGCUCAUUUGCUACUCCCUCCUAUC
RNAcentral lists this long non-coding RNA (974 nucleotides) under Brachypodium distachyon (stiff brome). Its description in RNAcentral is "long non-coding RNA (BDIS_LNC001586)". The record is from RNAcentral. Lineage: Eukaryota; Viridiplantae; Streptophyta; Magnoliopsida; Poales; Poaceae.